This 69-nucleotide transfer RNA is filed under the name Marmota monax (woodchuck). RNAcentral's name for it is "tRNA.Ala". Lineage: Eukaryota; Metazoa; Chordata; Mammalia; Rodentia; Sciuridae. The record is from RNAcentral.
GGGUUGUAGCUCAGUGUUAGAGUGCUUGCCUAGCAUGCACAAGGCCUUUGGUUUGAUCCCAGAAAUGCG